UACAGAGGGUGCUAGCGUUGUUCGGAAUCAUUGGGCGUAAAGGGCGUGUAGGCGGUUUGUUAAGUCAUGUGUGAAAUCCCUCGGCUCAACCGAGGAAAGACGCAUGAAACUGGCAAGCUAGAGUACCGAAGAGGGGGGUGGAAUUCCCGGUGUAGCGGUGAAAUGCGUAGAUAUCAGGAGGAACACCAAUGGCGAAGGCAGCACUCUGGGACGUGACUGACGCUGAGACGCGAAAGCGUGGGGAGCAAACAGG
This 253-nucleotide ribosomal RNA is filed under the name uncultured bacterium. RNAcentral describes it as "partial 16S ribosomal RNA". It matches the Rfam family "Bacterial small subunit ribosomal RNA", at positions 524 to 776 of the family's 1533-position model. The record is from RNAcentral.